AGCUGUGGGAGCACAGGUGAAGGCAAUUCACCUGUGUGACCUGAAGAGGUGGAGCCUGGCUGCACCUCUCCUAGACCCCAUUUAAGGGCUGACUGCCACUGAGGAAGGAUCUCUUUCUGGAGAUUCCUUCCUUUGGAGUUUCUCUGCAAGUCUACAACACUGGUGGAAUUUCCUGAGGCAACUUGUACCCAUUGCUACUUGUCCUGUCAUCAUGCACCCAUGUGAGGAGAGUACAUCCAGCUUCCCUAGAGCUACUCUUUCAGAAAGCCUACAGACUCUGCAUCCAGAAUGUUGUAGAUGGGAAAAACUAUUUGAAGAACAUGAUGACUCUCAUCUUGUAAGAGCCUGGAGAGCAUCUGGACAUCUCUGGAAAGGUGGUUGAGGGAGGUUCCAGAUAAGGGAUGAAACAACGUGGGCGAGGAGAAAGGAGAAACUUUUUGUCAGUUACUGAGAAAGACGAGAAUGCAGCAGGAGGAAAAUACUGUUGUGCAGACAAGAGAAACGAUUCAAAAUGCAAUACCGAGAAAGGAAAGAAUAAACGAACAAAAUCCGUAGUUUCUAAGAGCGUUUGUUGAUGCUCCGUCUUUUCCAAAGCCAUGCCCAGGUGUUUGAUAGCCUCGGCCGAAGCAGCGUUGCAACGCAGCCCCGAGCCGCGCUCCUCGGCACUCGCCAGGCCGCCGAAGUUCCUCCGGGGCGGGCGGCCGGCCCGCCGCCUUUCUCCCUGCUCCCGAGUGGGACCGCCAGGGGGCGCUGUGAUGGCGAGGCGCCGGGCGGUUGGGAGGCGGGCAUCGAGCAGCGCUGCGUGGCGCCUGGAGCCUGAGCUGCGCGCCCCGCCCCGCCGGAACCUGGAGGGGGUAAAGGGGCGGCGCUAUCGGGGACGGGAAGGUGGCAGUUUCUAAAUGCGAAUUUUUAAAGGAGUUGGCAGAGUUCAUUUCUGAACGAGUGCGUUCAGAGUCACGUCCAGGAACAAGCGCAGUGUUCUCCUUUAACUCGUGAAUUGCAGCUUCCUGUUCCUGGGCAGCCGAGUGCAAAGCACAACGUAAAGCCAAAGCAACGCGUACUCAAACAGUUCAGCUCAUUCAUGUGCAAAUAGGUCUAUAACAUUUCCAAGCCAAAACUACGUAUAACAGCAUCACUUUAGGGGAGAAGACAAACGUAACCUGUCCCAUUAUCAUUAUCUCAUUGCAUUAUUAACUGUGGAACUGAAACCAUGAUAAUUUAGAAUGUGAUUACAAAUAAGUAAGAAAUAAGUAAAAAGCCCUCCGGCUUUUCAGAUCCUAAGUUCUUCAGGCACUUUCUUUAUU
Gallus gallus (chicken) is the source of this 1304-nucleotide long non-coding RNA. NCBI's taxonomy places the organism in Eukaryota, Metazoa, Chordata, Aves, Galliformes, Phasianidae. The record is from Ensembl.